AUCUGUUUCCGGAAAUUUGAUAUUGCAUAUUGCCAAAUCAAAUUUCCAAAUAAACAAAAAAACUUAACGGUUUGAAAAACAACUUCUAUCAAAGGUGAGAUGCUAAGCCCUUGUGAAACUCUUUGUUUUUCUAUUAUUAGACUAAAUCGAAGUUUAAUUUCAGUUAAAUUUAAAGUUAUACAGUAAAUAACAGCUAUGGGAUUAGCUUCUAUCUUGGUAUCCGUUUUCGUUUCAAAUGGUUUGGGCUUUCUUUGGUGGUCUCCCGGAUUAUUUGGAAAAAUUUGGGCUGAAUGUUGCUAUCCAGGAAAGUCGUUUGACGAAAUUGGAAAAGAUUGCUCCCCAUACGUUCAUCUCUCAGCCGGAAUUGCCCAUGCUGCCGUAGCGUUGCUUAUUCAGCUCUUAAUGGCGAUGCUGCAUUUAGGCUCCCUAUCUACCUUGAUAUGCUUAAUCGGAGCUCUAAGUGGAAUUGUUAUAAUGACGCAGAUACCACAUCAUUUAUACGGAGGAAAGCAUAUUAUUUCUUGGUUUAUUGAACAAGGAUACGAUUUGAUGAAAAUUAUAUUCACCUGCGUUAUUAUCUAUUAUCUAGAUUAUGUUCUAAAACUUCCUUUCUAGAUGACGAAUUUCCGAUCAUAAAAAGCAGCGAUACUUCCUAACAAAGAAACACAAUUAGCAGGCUACUUUUUUUAUAUGAUUAAACGAUUAUUAUAUCUUGCCAUUUUUUUUUAAUAAAGUAAAAAUAGCAUCUUAAA
RNAcentral lists this unclassified non-coding RNA (752 nucleotides) under Dimorphilus gyrociliatus. RNAcentral's name for it is "dgyrCDS982". The record is from RNAcentral. Lineage: Eukaryota; Metazoa; Annelida; Polychaeta; Dinophilidae.